Raphanus sativus (radish) is the source of this 951-nucleotide long non-coding RNA. RefSeq lists it as uncharacterized. The record is from RefSeq and is a predicted model, not a curated record. The transcript has 2 exons. NCBI's taxonomy places the organism in Eukaryota, Viridiplantae, Streptophyta, Magnoliopsida, Brassicales, Brassicaceae.
GAGAGAGAGAGAGGCGACUGGGUAAGCUGUGCUCGAAGCCCUAGCAAACCUCGGCCUCCUUCUCCUCUUUUUCCUCGUCGGCCUCCUUCUCUUCUUCUCCCUCGUCGGCCUCCUUCUCUUCUUCUUCCUCGCCGGCCACCUGCUCUUCUUCUCUUCUUCUUUCUCUAAACUCUCUGAUUUUCGAUUUAUCUCUUCAUAUUCAUGCUAAGAAUUGCUAGAUCUGUGUUGUGGUUGUCGAAAUCUGAUAGAUUAAGGUUCUCUGAUUUUAUUUUUGUCUUUAAACUUGCUGAAAAAGUUGUCGAUUUGAUGUGAUCUGUUUCUGAAAAAGCUGUCGGGUUAAUCUGUUCCUUAUUGCUCCAAUAUACUUGUCUUUGGUUGAAUUCAAAAUUGAUCUGAGAAGUUUGGGUUUGAUUUUUGUUUUGAUCUGUUACGCUUCUUUUCUAUUUUCUGUUUCUGAUUAUCAAUCUGAUUUAUUAAGAUUUGAAUUGUAGUUUUGAAUCUGUUUCUGUUGGCAAGUUGAUUGUUUUUGCUUUCUUUUGAAUUUCCUACUGCUGUGUGUUGCUUUACGAUCUCUACUUCGCAAUCACAUUCACAGGAAAACUUGCUUUUUGAUGUUCAAGAAAAUCUGAAAGUAUGGUUUUGGAUUCAGCGCCUUGUCCCAACAAGUAGUGGCCAGAACAGAAGCUUGUGAAGGAUGGUUUCAUCAUCAGGACACCAACCAAGAUCCACUGUCCUGAAAAAAUACCGAGAGUCAAAGAAGAUUGACAAGUACAUGUAUCAAGAGUCGAAGAAGAUUGACAAGAAGAUUGACAGAGAAACAUCAGAGGAGUCCAUUGGAUGCUUAGUUUAGCUUUAGGCUAAUUAUGUUUUGGCUUAAUUUUUAAAUUUGUUCGUUAGUUAUUUGUAUACUGAUUUCAAGUAAUAAAUAAAAUUUUGAUUUUUAAUUAUAAA